GUUAAAAAGCUCGUAGUUGGAUUUCUGUUGAGGAUGACCGGUCCGCUCUUUGAGCGCGUAUCUGGUUCAGCCUUGGCAUCCUCUUGGGGAACGCUACUGUGCUUGAUUGCAUGGGGCGGUAUUCAAGACUUUUACUUUGAGGAAAUUAGAGUGUUCACUGCAAGCGUUAGCAAUUGAAUACAUUAGCAUGGAAUAAUAAUAUAGGACCUUGGUACUAUUUUGUUGGUUUCUAGAACUAAGGUAAUGAUUAAUAGGGACAAUUGGGGGCAUUCGUAUUAACGCGUCAGAGGUGGAAUUCUUAGAUUGCGUUACGACGAACUACUGCGAAAGCAUUUGCCAAGGAUGUUUUCAUUGAUCAAGAACGAAAGUAUGGGGAUCGAAGACGCUUAGAUACCGUCGUAGUCUAUACCAUAAACUAUGCCAACUAGAGAUUGGAGGUCGUUCUCUUUAUGACUCCUUCAGCACCUUAUGAGAAAUCAAAGUCUUUGGGUUCCGGGGGGAGUAUGGUCGCAAGGCUGAAACUUAAAGGAAUUGACGGAAGGGCACCACCAGGAGUGGAGCCUGCGGCUUAAUUUGACUCAACACGGG
Molecule: ribosomal RNA, 588 nt
Filed under: uncultured marine eukaryote
Lineage: Eukaryota
Description: SSU rRNA
Rfam family: Eukaryotic small subunit ribosomal RNA
Source: RNAcentral